GCAGCCUGGAGGAGGAAAGGUAGGCCUCCCGCGUGAGCCUCCUGUGCUGUAAUAGAGGGCUCCUCACCCAGGAGACCCCCUCUUCCCCUGGGUUUCACGCUCUGUUGCUCUCCUGAAAUUAAUUUUUGAACAAGCAGACCCACAUUUUCAUCUUGCAGUGUAGCGGUUCUGAUUGCCAGAGAGUCCUGAAGGCGCGGGGGGCGGGGGCUGGACCAGCAGGGAGUCAACCUGGGAGCCUUGUCUUGCCUUCAUUCGCUCAUUUUUUUUUUCACUCAUUCAUUGGUGUGGCCAACACUGACUUAUCCAACGCUGAAUCAUGUGCCAGGCUCUUCUGGGUACUGGAAACUUCAGCUAUGAAAGACUGCCGUCAAGGAGCCGGCACCCUGGCAGGGACAUGCUGAACAGACAAGUAUGUGUCGGGAAUGCACUGGGAGGCUAGAGAGCAUCCGAUGUGAGACUCGGCCCUGUCUUCUAAUCAUGGCCCGCAGGGGGGACUGAGCAAGCAGCCCCCGGGGAGCAGGGCUGCCCCGAGGGGAGGGUUGGGUGAGCCUUGAGUCUGCCAGGAAGGGUGAGACGUUCCUAGAGGAGGCACUGUUUGCUCCUCUUUUGGGAGGAAGACUGUGACUUUCAGCUGGGUUUCCCCAGACCCAGGCCAGGUGAUGCUCGGUAAAUAAAGUGAGGGGUUAACGAAGGCACAAGUGGGGGGAAGUUGCAUGAACAAGCAAGCCAGGUGUGGGUCUCACCAGACCCGCAGGGCACGGGCACAAUGCUGUGUCUUCCCGCAUCUGCUCCGUCCCCUUCCCUUGCUUUCUUUUCCUCCUUAGCUCACACCUGGAACGUGUGUACAUCUGUGGCCCGUCUCUCCCGCCGUAACGAACGGUCUAGGACAUUGCCUAUCUUGUCCAUGGCUCUAGCUCCAGCACAUAGGACAGCGGUGACCAGCACACCCGAGGUGGAGCCAGGCGACCAGGUUCUGGUCAGGGGAGCGGAGGCAGAAGCAAUGGCAUCGAUACCCCGAGCGCCCUCGCGAACUCCGUGCUGAAGACGGCGGAGUGCGUCAGCCUGAGCCCCCCUCCCCACCCCGUGAGUGGCAAAGCAGAGUUUCCCCGCUGAAGCUGGGCCCCCAUGAGUGAGAAGAAAACUUCUACCGUGCUAAGCCGCUAACGUUACACAGUUUGCCUGUUAGAGCAGUCGCACUGCCCUUCCUCACUGAGAACUCAAAGACACAUAACACGCAAUCCCCAUCUGAGAGUCAAGUGGGACUCCCUUCUCUGGGCCACCUCGAUUCCUUUUAAUGAGCAAUGAAAUGUAAGUUUCUGGACACGAAAGAGGGAGACUAAAGUCGGUCUCCUUUACUCUCUACUCAAAACGAUGCUGAAGAUUGACAGAUUUACCCAUCUUUCUGCCUCCGCUGAUUUAUAAGUGUUUCAAAGAUCUGAGCCAUACAGAACUCUCGAUUUCUUUUUUUAUUUUUUAAUGUUUACGUAUUUAUUUAGAGAGAGAGAGAGAGGCAGGGGAGGAGCAGAGAGAGAGAGGGAGGGAGGGAGGGAGGGAGAGAGAGAGAGAGAGAGAGAGAGAGAGAGAGAGAGAAUCCCAAGCAGCCUCCACGCUAUCAGCACAGAGCCUGAUGCAGGGCUUGAACUCAAGAAAUGUGAGAUCAUGACCUGAGCCAAAAUCAAGAGCUGGAAGCUUAACCAACUGGGGGGCUUAAAACAACACAAAUUUCUUGUCUGGCGGGUCUGGAACCUGGAGGUUGGAAAUCAAGGUGUCGACAGGGACUCCCUCCCUUUGAGGGAUCUAGGAGAGGGUCCCUCCUCGCCUCUUCCAGCUUCUAGUGGCUGGUCCUAAUCUUUGGUGCCCCUUAGCUUCCAGCUGCAUAAUAGAAUCCCUGUCCCUGUCAUUGUCACAUGCUCAUCUUUCCUCUGUGUCUGUUCGUCUCCUCUUUGUAUAAGGACACUAGUCACAUUGGAUUAAGGGCCCACGCUCCUCCAGCAUGACCUCAUCUUAACUUGCAUUGUAAUUACAUCUGCAAAUAAGGUCACAGGCACAGGGACCAUGGGAGGGACUUCAGCUUAUCUUUGGGCAAGGGGGCACAAUUCAGCCCAUGACAGGCAGCCUAUUAAAGCAUUAUUAUUUGAUUUAUAUAACUAGAAAAUCUCUAGAUAAGGUAAACAGAGAUCUAUCCUGAAUCAUUACAAGACUCUCACUCAAUUCCCAAACCUGAGCCAGUUCACAGACCCAGGGUCCUCGAAGGAAGAGGGGGGCGGGUCUCCUUGACAAAAGCCUUGCAACAUUGCCAUAAACAUCCUGGGAAUAGGAGCGCCUGGGUGGCUCAGUCGGUUGAGCGUCUGACUUUGGUUCCCGUCCUGAUCUCGCGGUCCGUGAGUUCGAGCCCCGCGUCGGGCUCCGUGCUGACAGCUCGGAGCCCGGAGCCUGCUUUGGAUUCUGUGCCUCCCUCUCUCUCUGCCCCUCCCCCGCUC
Molecule: long non-coding RNA, 2480 nt
Organism: Acinonyx jubatus (cheetah)
Lineage: Eukaryota; Metazoa; Chordata; Mammalia; Carnivora; Felidae
Exons: 2
Source: RefSeq, a predicted model, not a curated record